AGAGUUUGAUUCUGGCUCAGGACGAACGCUGGCGGCGUGCUUAACACAUGCAAGUCGAACGAGAAGAGAUGAGAAGCUUGCUUCUUAUCAAUUCGAGUGGCAAACGGGUGAGUAACGCGUAAGCAACCUGCCCUUCAGAUGGGGACAACAGCUGGAAACGGCUGCUAAUACCGAAUACGUUCUUUCCGCCGCAUGACGGGAUGAAGAAAGGGAGGCCUUCGGGCUUUCGCUGGAGGAGGGGCUUGCGUCUGAUUAGCUAGUUGGAGGGGUAACGGCCCACCAAGGCGACGAUCAGUAGCCGGUCUGAGAGGAUGAACGGCCACAUUGGGACUGAGACACGGCCCAG
RNAcentral lists this ribosomal RNA (346 nucleotides) under uncultured bacterium. Its description in RNAcentral is "bacterial SSU rRNA". It matches the Rfam family "Bacterial small subunit ribosomal RNA", at positions 8 to 334 of the family's 1533-position model. The record is from RNAcentral.